GACGAACGCUGGCGGCGUGCUUAACACAUGCAAGUCGAACGGAAAGGCCCUGCUUUUGUGGGGUGCUCGAGUGGCGAACGGGUGAGUAACACGUGAGUAACCUGCCCUUGACUUUGGGAUAACUUCAGGAAACUGGGGAUAAUACCGGAUAGGAGCUCCUGCUGCAUGGUGGGGGUUGGAAAGUUUCGGCGGUUGGGGAUGGACUCGCGGCUUAUGAGUUUGUUGGUGGGGUAGUGGAUUACCACGGCGUUGACGGGUAGCCGGCCUGAGAGGGUGACCGGCCACAUUGGGACUGAGAGACGGCCCAGAGUCCUACGGUAGGCAGCAGUGGGGAAUAUUGCACAAUGGGCGGAAGCCUGGUGCAGCAACGCCGCGUGUGGGAUGACGGCCUUCGGGUUGUAAACCGCUUCCGCCUGUGACGAAGCGUUAAUGACGGUAAUGGGUAAAUAAGCACCGGCUAACUACGUG
RNAcentral lists this ribosomal RNA (468 nucleotides) under uncultured bacterium. RNAcentral's name for it is "partial 16S ribosomal RNA". It matches the Rfam family "Bacterial small subunit ribosomal RNA", at positions 28 to 507 of the family's 1533-position model. The record is from RNAcentral.